RNAcentral lists this ribosomal RNA (496 nucleotides) under uncultured bacterium. Its description in RNAcentral is "partial 16S ribosomal RNA". It matches the Rfam family "Bacterial small subunit ribosomal RNA", at positions 29 to 507 of the family's 1533-position model. The record is from RNAcentral.
AUGAACGCUGGCGGCGUGCCUAAUACAUGCAAGUCGAGCGAACGGACGAGAAGCUUGCUUCUCUGAUGUUAGCGGCGGACGGGUGAGUAACACGUGGAUAACCUACCUAUAAGACUGAGAUAACUUCGGGAAACCGGAGCUAAUACCAGAUAAUAUUUUGAACCGCAUGGUUCAAAAGUGAAAGACGGUCUUGCUGUCACUUAUAGAUGGAUCCGCGCUGCAUUAGCUAGUUGGUAAGGUAACGGCUUACCAAGGCAACGAUGCAUAGCCGACCUGAGAGGGUGAUCGCACACACUGGAACUGAGACACGGUCCAGGCUCCGACGGGAGGCAGCAGUAGGGAAUCUUCCGCAAUGGGCGAAAGCCUGACGGAGCAACGCCGCGUGAGUGAUGAAGGUCUUCGGAUCGUAAAACUCUGUUAGUAGGGAAGAACAAAUGUGUAAGUAACUGUGCACAUCUUGACGGUACCUAAUCAGAAAGCCACGGCUAACUACGUG